Molecule: long non-coding RNA, 7148 nt
Filed under: Vigna radiata
Lineage: Eukaryota; Viridiplantae; Streptophyta; Magnoliopsida; Fabales; Fabaceae
Description: long non-coding RNA (VRAD_LNC009648)
Source: RNAcentral
AAACAUAAAUGACUUAUCAGAAGUUACAUUACAACUUUCUUUAUGAAUCUAAUGAGAGAAUGUUUCUUUGGCUCAGACGCUUUUUCCAUGUUCUCUGCUUCACCCCAUAUCAGAUAUACUAUUGUGUUUUUGACCAUCAAUCCAUUACCGAAAUUCACAAAAAUCUCCACAUUGUCUCCAGAUUCUAAAUUUGACAUUAUGCCAUGCCAAUCUUCAUCUUUAAAGGAAAUUGCUAUGCCAUGGUUGUGUAUCUGGAAUGUACACUUUGUGUAAUUAACAAUUACGACUGUAGUAAAUUCAGGUUUAAUGAUCUUAGGAGUUGAUAAAUAAACAACACACAAAAUCAUUCCUUUCAUAUCACCAUCUUCAGGCACAAUGAAAGAAACAGAGUGUCCCUCACCCAUAUGGGCCAUACAAUAUGGAUCAUUCACAGCUGGGAGACAAACAUCACAAGACUCACUGCUUGACAAUACCUGCACCAUAACAAAAUGUUUAGUCAUUUAUCUAAUUUUUCUAUUCAAAAUGUCUUCUAUAGUCAUUAUUUUUACAUUAAUAAUUACAAUGUGGGCAUUUAUAAUCAAACAAAAAACAAUGCAGUACAUAAUCAAAACAUACCAAUGGUAAUUAAUCUAAACAAAUCUCAUUAAUACUUUUGUUCUGUAUGUAUCAUCAUUACGUCGUUAGUGAUUUACAAAAGAUUUAUGUUUUUGUCUCUUUUAGUAUAUUUCUACCACGAUUGGAAAUAUAACAAUAGUGAAGCCAGUAAAGGAAAGUAAGAAAGUAUUGAAAUAAAAGAAAUAUCAUUUGAUUAGUUGAUUACCAAAAUCAGAAACUUCUAGACGAGGUUCUAUGGUAAUAGGAAUUAAGCAUGUUGUUCUUACCUUGUCUAACAGUUAUAUUAAAGAGCGCCAUCCUAUAAGAUCUUUUAAAUCUCUUCGUUAUAGAACACUUAACCUAUAUAUAUUUUGAUCAUGUUUCUAUAUUAUAACUAAAUAUCCGUAGAUUAAUAUGUUGGUUAUUAUUAUAUUAUUAUAUUUUCUAAGUAAGUACAAUUUUAAUAGGAAUAUAAAUUUACUAUGUUAAUUCUAUAAAUACAACUAAUAUUUUUGAAGAAAUACUUACUUCAUAAACAAUCACUUUAUUCUAAAAUAUUCUAACUCCCUCAGAGACUGUUUUGAGAUGGAUCUCGUAUCUCAAAAGCAAGAAGACUCUUUUCAAACAAAAGAUCCAUAUAAUAACAAGUGCUAAAAUUGAUUAUUGUAGUUGACUCAGAUAUUUCAUUAGGAUUAUUUUAUGUUCUCUUGAUUAAUAACUAAAAUGAUAUAGUGAAGGUAAGAAACAAAGGCAAAGCUAGAGAAUAACCUCAGAUAUGUUAUCGCUGACAGCAUUGAAGAGCUGAUGGUAUGCUCCAACACCAAUCAAAGAACACCUGAAGUGCUGCUUUGAAAUUCCUGAUUCUGUAAUAUUCGAGAAAUAUUCAACCAAAAAAUUUUUAACUUGCUUUGAUAAUUGAAAUUCGGUGUCACAUACUACCAAAACACUUCGAAUAUUUGCAAGGGUGCUAAGCAAUGGUGCAAUAUCAAUCGUAUUAUCCUCNGUAUCCAUGCAAAACGAAUGAAUAUAAGAAAUGGGAUUCAUUAUUGGGGACAUCCAAGACCGAAUGAUAGAAGGAAAAAGAUUAUGAGAUAAUCCCUCAAAUCCACGUAGGGAUAUAUAUCCAAUGCUUUUCGAGCUUACAAUUGAAAAAGGCACUUCUUUCACAACUGUAUUUUCAGCAAUUAGAGUUAUCAAGGAUCCCAACUUUGCUAUAUCUUUAUCCAUUAUGUGAAUCUUGGAACAACCAGAGAGAAUGAAGGUUCUUAAAGAUUUCAACUCAUAUAUCUCUGUUGGAAGAUUGUUUAGACUUGUACAGUCUUUCAAAUUUAGCAGUAUAAGACUGUUGAGUGAUCCAAUAGAUUGGUGCACUUUGCUCAAUCUCGAACAAUAUUUCAAAAUGAGAUGUUCAAGACUUGGUAAUCCGGUAAAGUCAGGGGUUGUAGUUAAAUGCUUGGAGUGACUGAGGUUAAGGACUUUUAGUGAUGUCAUAACCUGUACCAAGAUAGUUUUUCAUUUUAGACAUAUUAGAGUACAAAUUAAAAAUGAAGCAAUAGCAAGCUACUAAUUUAUUUGAAUUAAGUUGUAUUUUAAGGAGAAGUGGGUGGUAAUAAAACCUGGGGUGUUUUCCAGAGAAAUCGAAGAAGACUGCGUUUUAAAUCAAUAGCUAUUACAUCAUGCUGAUAAAAGUUGUUAGGUAGACGUUCUGAAGAAAGUCCAUGCGAACUGAUCCAUCUUAGUUUCUUAAGAAGGUACUCAGAAUUUACAGUCGGUUGUACACUUUCGAAGGGAGUGAAAACUGAAGGCUGUUUCACAGGCAACCACUGCUUGGCUUCUGUCCCCUGUGAUGAAAAUUCCAAAUAUAAAUAAAUAAAUGUAAUGCAGAGGAGAAAGAAAACGCUUUCAAAAGAAGUUUGAAACCACAUGUAAAGAAUGUUCUUACAUAUUUCGUAUCCUUAUCAAACCACAGUCGCCUGUUCUUCCCAAGAUCCUUUCCUGAAUUUUUCUGAAUAAUUCUUAUUCCGAUCUCUUGUAGCAAAGGAUGCAUUCCUAAUUUGUUGUUCUUGUUAAUUUUGAUGAGGNUACGCUCGAUGAGAACUCUUAUUCCAUUAUCAGCGUCUACUCCACAGCCAUUUAGGAUCUUCGUAACAUAGGCUCUGCUCUUACCAAUAAAGAAACAACAUAUAUCAAGGAAUAUAUCUUUUUCCAUUUCAUUCAGUGAACCUUCGAUGCUUAGUUUUAUUAUCUCUGGAUCAGGAAGCAAGCCAUCUAUCGCAAACAAUGAACUGUUCCAUUCUUUUUUGGUCUUUUCAAACAAAGUACUUCCAACGACUUCAAGAGCUAGAGGUAAUCCUCCACAAUAACUAACUACUCUUCUUGCAAGGUCUUCGUAUUCUUCUUUCGGUUUUGGUUCUCUAAAUGCGUGCCAACUAAGAAGCUCAAGGGACUCUUCUUCGUUCAUUCGCUCUACCCAAAAGUCAGAAUUAGCUUGAUCACUUAUAUGUAUUCCAUAUGUUGAUGUAACUAUUAUAACAGUUCCUUCAACUAAUAAUUUAAGACAAUCCCUUAGGUCGAAUAAAUUAUUAGAGUAAUUAACAUCGUCAAGUACAAUCAAAACCCUUUUUCCUAAAAGUCUUUCCCGAAUCAUAGUUUUUCCCACAUCAACGCUAGGAAUCUCCACCUCUUGUUUUAGGACAUCUAAAAGAAGUUGUUCUUGUAAACGAAGAAGCCCUCUUGUUCCGCUAACAUGUGAAAUAUUUUCAAUGAAACUUUUGUCCUUGAAUUUCCAAUGAAUUUGAUUGUAGAUGGCUUUGGCAAGAGUGGUUUUACCAGAUCCUUCUUCUCCACUUAUCUCUAUUAUACAAACUUCAGUGGAUUUAUUUUUGAUAGUUCGAAUCAGAUCUUCCACAUGGGAUUGCAAUCCAACUGGAAAUUUAGUAGCAGACAAGACUGGUAAAUUAACAACGCUCUUAACAAUUUUGUCCACUAACUCAGCAUCACUCCUUCAAGUUCAAAAGCAGUAAUAGAAGAAGUCAUGUAUUAAGAAAAUGAAAUCGGAGGCUUAAAAGAUGAUUGAUUGAGUGAGUGAUGUACCUGUGAUUGCUCUCAUCCCAUCCAAACAAAUUUGCAGCUUUGGUGAGUGCAUGGCUCCACCUGGACAUUCCAUGCUCAAGUUCUUGUCCUGAAAAUGUUUGUUGAGCAGUUGCCUUCAAGGCUUUUCCAAAGUCACCCUUCUGAAAACGUACAUCAGAUGGCUGGAUUUCAUAAUAUACAGGCAGAACAUGUCGGCAAUAAGUUUCGUGCCAGUCGAUGAUUUGUUGAAGCUGAUGAAGACACCAAGCAGAUUGAGAAUAGGUUUGGGUGAAAACAACAAUUGUUACACGACAGUGGCUGAGAAUAGGUUCUUGGAUGUGUGUUGACUUCACUGCAUUGGGGUAAAGAAGGAAAGUGGUGAGAGGAACAGUAGAGAGGGCAGAAUUGGUUACUCUAUAUAUCUUGGCUCUUCACUUAUUUCAUGGAAAUCGAAGAAAUAAGCCACUGUAUCCAAAAGUUCCUCAGAAGUUGAAUACAGAGCUCUUGCCACAGCUACUUACGAAAUUCAAUGGUUAACUUUUCUUCUACAGGAUCUUCACGUAACUUUUCAACAACCAGCAGUCUUAGUCUGUGAUAACAAUUAUGCCCUUCAUAUUGCUGCAAAUCCAGUUUUUCAUGAAUGCACGAAACAUUGAAAUAUAUUGUCAUAUUGUAAGGGAAAAGCUUUCUCCUGGCUUACUUAAACUACGUACUAUCGAUUCCUUCUGCAUGCCAGUUAGCUGAUAUCUACACCAAAGGACUUUCACCAGCAGCUUUCAAAUUUCUGGUUUCCAAGUGGGAAUGAUUGACAUUCAUUCUCCAGCUUGAGGGGGCUGUUAGGAUUCAAUAUAUGUUAGGAUUUAAUAUCUUGUUAGGAUUUAAUAUAUGUUAAGAUUUAAUAUCUUGUUAGGUUUUAAGAUCUUGUUUGUUAUUAUUUUUGUUUGUUAUUAUUCUGUAUAUAUUAUUGAUAGAUUAGAUAGAGUUAUAACUAAUUUUGUUAUAAUCUUGAUGUAUAAAUAUUUACAUCUGCAUGUUGAGAUAAUACACUGACUAUUGUUUUACCUCCUUGUUUUUCCAUUAUAUAUUGCAAUUUCUAUACUUGGUGGUUUGAAUGAUGAUUCUCAUUAUUUAAGACCUGCUGCAAAAUUCCUGAUUUUGUAAUAGUAGCAAAAUAUUCAACCAAAAUAUUUUUCACUUGCUUAGACAAUUGAAAAUCGAUGUCACAUGCUACCAAAACACUUCUUUCUUUAGGCUUUAAUUAGCUUGUGUGGAUUGAAAAGCUAUGACAUUAGGCUUUAAUUUCAUGCAUCCCACAAUUUCUUUCUUUCUUCGUGCAUCCCUACAAACUUUUAAAACAACCAUUUUAUCCUCUGGAAAUGACUUCCAAAGUAUAUAUUUCAAAAGUUUUCCCAAACAAAGAUUGUGGAGUUUUCGAAAUAAUAUUUCUGAAAUAAAAUUUUCUGAACAGAAUUUUUGAAAUGAAAUUUUAAAAUGUGAUUUUCCAAACAGAAUUUUCAGAAUGUGUUUUGAAAUAUAUAAUUCCAAAUGAGAUUUUUUAAAAGGAUUUUGUAAAACUCAUAAUAUCUUCCGGAACACUUACAUGAAAUGUAUUAUGAAAAGAUUUGUUCGAAAUAAGUGAGAUACAUCUUUUGAAAAUAAUUUUUUUUUUUCUGCAUUUUUUUCUCUUCUUUUUCUUUUGUAGUGUUUUCUUCCUUCUUCCUCUGCAGCAUUGUGACUGUAACAAUGAAUAUAAUGUAGGGCAUUAAUAGAAGAUGGUUAAGUCUUUUCCUCAUGUUAUGGGGUGCAGUUAAUAAUUCUGGGAGUACGGGAAAUAAUAUGAAAUUAACAUAAGCUUUGUUCCGUAUAUCACUGUCGACCACUUUUCACACCUCUAUAAUACAGAGAGAUCAUUCUUUGCCCAUGAUUUGAUGGGUGCCAAUUUUGAAAAAGAAAAGAAAAGAUAAGAAAAGGAAAAUCAUCGAUGAUCCUUAAUAAGUGUUUUUAUGCUAUCAUUUUAUUGCAUUUUCAAAAUCUUUUUGACUUUAAUAUUUUAAAACAUAUCAAUAAUUUUUUAAAAGCACACUAAAGAAACAAUAGCACAAGUUUAAAAAAAAAAACUUGGACUAAAAAAAUACGUCUUCAUAUGCAUUUAUCAUAAAAUCACACUUGAAAUAUAUAGUUUUUUUUAAGUGUUUUGAGAGUUUGAUGUUAUUAAUCUAUAUUCUUAUUUUUAAAGAAAAUUGUUACCUUAUUUGUUUAAAGAAAAUUACAUUAUUUUUAAUUUUUUGUUGUUAUUUACCAUAUCUGAAACACUUAAUGAAAUUUUUUAUGAUUCUACUGAAUUCUUGACUUAAUUUCUUUUAAGAGUGAAUGAAUUAUUCUUAUUCAAAUAAAAAUGUCAAUAUUUUGUGUCAAAAUGUUGUCACAUAUAUUUCUUAACAGCUGCCUUUAUUUCAUAAAGAAUAUCCUUUUUUUCUUUAAGAGAAAUUCUUGAUGAGGUAUUAUAUGCUCAAAGGGAAAAGAAUUCACAAAUGUAACCAUAAGAUAAUUCAAGUGAAGCCAAGGCAACACAACGCCAGGAGUGAGAAGCAUGACUUAAACAAACAUGAAUUUUUUAACUGUACGUUAUACUUUAAGGAAAAAGAGGAAAGGAUGCGAAAAUAUAAAUAGUAAUCAAGAACAAUAGGAUUAUUUAUUUCCAUCACUAAAUGAUAACGCUGUUCUCAAAAAACAUAAAUGACUUAUCAGAACUCACAUUACAACUUUCUUUAUGAAUCUAAUGAGAGAAUGUUUUUUUGUCUCAGACGCUUUUUCCAUGUUCUCUGAUUCACCCCGUAUCAGAUACACCGUUGUGUUCUUGACCACCAAUCCAUUACCAAAGUUCACAAAUAUCUCCACAUUGUCUCCACAUUCUAAAUUUGACAUUAUGCCAUGCCAAUCUCCAUCUUUAAAAGAAAUUGUUGUGCCAUGGUUGUGUAUAUGGAAUGUGCACUUUGUGUAAUUAACAAUUACGACAGUAGUAAAUUGAGGUUCAAUGAUCUUAGGAGUUGAUAAAUAAACAACACAAAAAAUCAUUCCUUUCAAAUCACCAUCUUCAGGCACAACGAAAGAAACAGAGUGUCCCUCACCCAUAUGGGCCAUACAAUAAGGAUCAUUCACAGCUGGGAGACAAACAUCACCAGACUCACUGCUUGACAAUACCUGCACCAUAAUAUAAAAGGUUUGGUCAUUUCUCUAAUUUUUCUAUUCAAAUUGUCUUCUAUAAUCACUAUUUUAACAUUAAUAAUUACAAAGUGAGCACUUAUAAUCAAACAAACAACAAUUCAGUACAUAAUCAAAACAUACCGAUGGUAAUUAAUCUAAACAAAUCUAAUUGAUAGUUUUGUUCUACAUGUAUCAUCAUUAAGUCGUUACUGAUUUACAAUGCAUUUGUGUUUUUGUCUCUAUUAGAAUAUUUCUACGACGAUUGGAAAUAUAACCAU